AGAAAAUAACAAUUAUUGGUACAUGGGGUGGACACCAGUGAGCGUGAAAGAUUUUUGAAUGACUAAUACCCCCUAUAAUAGUAUUUGGAAUAAAAACCUAAGUGACAGGAGUAGAUGUUUAAAAAAUGAAGAAUCAUACUAAGCACUUACUAAUAUCUGAGCUAUUUUACAACUGAAAUAACUAUUACAAUGAAAAGAAAAUUACAACUCAAACUUGAAGUAAUAUUUACAAUGUGCGGCCGAGGUUGGGCAAACUGCGACUGCGAUAGUGUCAAGGGGCUAAGUAAAGCUGCGGUCCUUGACACCGGGGCAUGACCUGCUGCUUCGGCUCUUCUUAACACAAGAUCUCCGGCUCUGAAUCUCCGCGUCCUCACUUUUUUAUUGAAAUACUUUGCUGUUUUAUCUUGAUAAGAUGUCAUUCUUAGAGCUGCCUGAUCACGAACUUCUUCCAAGAGGUCGAGGUGUUCAGUGGUACGCCCUGCAUUCUCGGGCUCAAGUCUUCUUUGGCUGGGCAACUUGAAUUUAAUAGGGAUGGUGGCCUCAAUACCGAAAGCCAACAUGAAGGGGGUUUUCCCCGUAGCGAUUCUGUGGGACGUUCUAUAUGUCCAAAGUAUGGAAGGUAACUCGUCAGACCAGGAACCUCUUGCAUCUCCGAUCCUUGUACGGAGGUCUUGCAAUAUAAUCCGAUUGGUCACUUCGGCAAGACCAUUACUUUGAGAAUGGGAAACUGAUGUCAAAUGGUGAUCGACCCCUAGAUUGGAGUAGAAGUUUUUAAAUUGUGCAUUGUCAAACUGCCUACCAUUAUUAGUUAUGAGGACUUUUGGUAUCUCAAACCUGCAUAUGAUGGACCUCCAAAUGAAAGUUCUCAACUUAGGCUCUGAAAUUGUUGCUAAAGGCUCGGCCUCUACCCACUUAGUGAAAUACUCUACAGCCAUAGCCACAAACUUCAAUUGCCCCUAGUUAUUGGAAAGGGACCAAGGAUGUCAAUUCCCCACUGCUCAAACAGGGCUGUGCAACUAAUGCUAGUGAGGUCCUCUGCGGGAGAGUAGGUGAUAUUGCUGAAUCUCUGGCACUUGUCACACUUCUUGACAUAUUCCUGGGCGUCUUUCUUCAUGGUAGGCCAAUAAUAUCCAUACCUUAUGAGCUUGAAGGCUAAUGCCCGAGCUCCUUGAUGGUUCCCACAUAUUUCUUCAUGAACUUCUUCUAGGGCCUGGGAUGAUUCGGAAGGCUUAAGGCAUCUGAGGUAUGGAAGUGUGAUGCUUCUGUGAAAUAGAACUCCUUCAAUCAUGAAAUACCUUGGAGCUUUGGACCGAAUGCUUCUUGCUGCCCGAGGAUCUUCUGGAAGAUUGCCAUGUUUUAUGAAGUCCAUUAUUAGAUCCAUCCACGAUGGCUCAUUAUCAAUAUCCAUGAUGCCUACGGUCUGAUUGUUGCUUAGCUCGGUUACAAUUCUAACUUGGACUGUCCUGUCAAACCCAUCUAUCCCCAUGAACACCAAUCUUGACAAGGCAUCGGCUUUACAAUUCUCAGCCCGAGUAAUUUUCACAAUUUCACAACUCUUGAACUUUCUCUGGAGAUCAUGCACUUUCAAGCAGUAUAAGCUCAUCUUCUCGUCCUUCCUAUCGAGUUUCCCUUCAAUUUGUCCAACUGUAAAUUUUGAUGUUUUCAAGCUUGAGAUUAAUGGCAAGUUCCAUGGCUAUGAUGACGGCCUCAUACCCCGCUUCAUUAUUGGUUGCCUUAAAUUCGAACCUGAGUGCACACUGAAUGUCUAUGAGCGUGUCCGGGCUUAUGAUUAUGACCCCUGCACUCAAUCCCGAUGAGUUUGAUGCUCCAUCUACAAAAAAUUACCACACAUCUGUGGAAGAGCACGAGCUACCAUCUGGCCCCUGAGGCCUUGGGGUGAGUUCUACAAUGCAGUCAACUAAGGCCUGAGCUUUGAUAGAUGGACGGGGCAUGAACUCUAUGUCAAAUUCUUCGAGUUCAAUUGCCCACUUCAAUAAUCUUCCUGAGACGUGUGGUUUCUGAAGAAUGUGUUUUAGAGGCUGAUUGGCGAGCACUACAAUAGGAUGUGACUAAAAAUAUUGUCGAAGCUUUCGUGCUGCCACUAUCAGUGCAAGGGCAAGCUGUUCUGCCAAAGUAUAUCUUGUUUCUGCAUCAAGUAGGACUUUGCUUACGUAAUAAAUAGGUUGCUGGGCCUUGUUAACCUCUUUCACCAAGACACCACUCACUACAUUCUGAGACACGGCUAAGUACAAAUACAAAGUAUCCCCAAGCUCGGGUUUGGUGAGGAUGGGAGGAGAUUCCAAUGUCUGCUUGAGCUCCUAAAAAGCCUUCUUGCACUCCUCAUUCCAUUCAAAGCAAUGAUUACCUCUGAGGGCUUUGAAGAAGGGAAAGCACAUGUCUGCUGCUUGGGACAUGAACCUAUUUAAGGCGGCUAUCCUGCCUGUCAACUUUUGAACUUCUUUCUUGGUCCUUGGUGAUUCCAUUGCUGUCAAAGCCUGAAUGUUAUCGGGGUUGGCCUCAAUCCCCUGAUGAGUGAUCAUGAAACCCAGAAACUUUCCCGAAGCUACACCGAAUACACACUUCUCUGGGUUGAGCUUUAUCUUAUAUUUUCGUAGGUGGCGAACACCUCCUCCAGGUCGGAUAUGUGCUGCUCUACAUUCUUACUCUUUACAACCAUGUCGUCAACAUAGGCCUCGAUGUUCUUCCCUAUUAAAUCGACGAAGACUUUGUUGAUGAGCCUUUGAUAUGUCGCCCCAGUAUUUUUCAACUCAAAUGGCAUCACCCUAUAGCAAUAUAUGGCUGAAUCAGCCAUGAAUGAAGUAUUCUCUUAGUCUUCUUCGGCCAUGAGAAUUUGAAGAUACCCUCUAAGAAGCUGUACAGCUUAUGUCCAAAUGUGCAAUCCACAAGAUUGUCAAUCUUGGGUAUGGGUAGCUGUCUUUUGGGCAUGCCUUAUUGAGAUCUGUGAAGUCGAUACAGACCCUCCAUUCACCACUGGCCUUCUUCACAAGAACAACAUUAGCGAGCCAAUCGGGGUAUUGGACUUACCUUAUGAACCCCGCUUUUACCAGUUUGUCGACCUCUUCUUGAAUGACCACACGUCUUUUCGGUGCAAACUGCCUUUUCCUUUGCUUAAUAGGUUUGGCCCCUGGGCUUAUAUUGAGUCUAUGAAAAGCUACUUCUGGAUCUAUCCCUGGCAUAUUCUCCACCUUCCAUGCAAAAACAUCGAUGUUGUAGGACAGACAAUUGAUGAAUUCCUCCCGGAGGCUGGCCUUGGGAUCCCGACCAAUAGUUACCGCUUUUUCGUGCUCGAGCUCGACCACUUCCAAUUCCUCAACCAAGGCAAGUCUGCCCUUGGUACGAGCUCGAGCUCGAGGUCUGAAAGUUGCAUGACGUCUGUACUCAUUCCUCAAAUGCUAGUAACAUAGCACUGUCUGGCAACUGUUUGGUCCCCUCGAACUAAUCCGACGCCAUGGCCUGUUGGAAACUUCAUGGCCAGGUGGAAAGUUGAUGCAAUAGCCUGGAUCUUGUUUAGUAGGGGCCUUCCGAGAAUGAUGUGUGUAGGCCAUAGGGGUGUUAACCACUUGGAAUUGUGUGAUCUCCGUCACUUGUGCCUUACUAGAACCUAAUGUAAGCGGAAGCUCGACGAUACCCUCAGGGAUAAUGACUCCACCACCAAAUCCCUGUAGAGGAGUUUUAACUGUUUUGAGCUGUUUGGGAGAGAGCCCCAUUUUAGCGAAGGCCUCCUGUGAUAGUAUGUUUGCCGCACUUCCAUUAUCAACCAGAAUCCUCUUUACUUCAAAGUUAGCCACAAUUGCAGAGACGACCAAGGCAUCGUCAUGAGGAUAUGAUAUUCCUUCCAAAUCUCUUACUCCAAAGGUAAUGUCUUCGAGUUUAUCACGGGUUUCCUUCGAGGUAUGAGCAUGUUGGCGGGCAUAUAGCUUUCGCCCACUAUUUGUGUCUCCUCCAGAUGCUAUGCCUCCAAUGAUAAUAUUAAUGGUCCCUGCAGUGGGUUGAGUACUGCUUCCGGCUCCAGGCUCUUUCUGAUUGUCACGGUCAUUCUUCGGGCUUUUAUCAUAACCAAUGUAGUUCCUUAAGAGUCCUCUUUUAAUGAGGGAUUCAAUUUCCCACUGCAAGGCUUGGCAAUCCUCCAUGGUAUGCCCAUGAUCUCGGUGAAAUUCACAAUAUUUGCUCCUAUCUCUUGUGUCAGGGGGUGACUUCAUUCUUGAAGGCCACUUUAAUUCUUUCAUAUCUUUGAUCUCCAUUAAGAUAUUUGCCUUGGAUGUGUUUAAUCGGGUGAGGAGCCUUGGUGGACCUUCAUUCUUGCGCUUUUCUCGAGGAUACUCGGGCCGAGAAACAGAAUCAUGUUGCUUCUUGUUCUCGGCCUUUUCGUGGGAAGGACCAAGUCUCCUUGGAUUUAGUGUUUCCUCCAUAUUAAUGUAUUUUUCAGCUCGGGUGAGGAGCUCCGUCACUGUUUGCAGCGGGGUCUUUGAUAAAGAUAUCUUGAAAGCUUCACGUCUUACGGUGUAGUGAGGGCGGAGACAGCUGCUGUGAUGUGAAUGUCGGGUAUUUGAUGUAUUUUUUUGCUAAACAUUGUCAUAAAUCCUCGUAGGGUUUCACUUGGUCCCUGACGAAGUUGCAUGAGAGAGGUCGCAGUCUUUCUGAUUUGCUUGCUACUUGCAAAGAAGGCGGAGAACUUAUCAGUCAAAUCUGAAAAUGAGGCUAUGGAGUUGGGCUCCAAUGUAGAGAACCAAUCCCUUGCAGCAUUAGUUAGAAUUUGGGGGAAGGCUUUGCACAUAACCUGAUCCGGCGCAACUUGCAAGUUCAUGACAUUAAUAUAUACAUUGAGAUGGUUGAUGGGGUCGCUCGUCCCAUCAUACUCUUUAAUGCGAGGAUAUUUGAAUCUGUCGGGCAAGGGACAUGACAAUAUGUCUGGCGUGAAUGGAGUGUUAGGUGUAAAACUCGUUGGCCCCCGAACAUUCCGUUGCAGGCCAACUGUAAUUCCUUCUUGAAUGAUUCGGACAAUCUCACCGGAAUCCAUGGCGAUCGAUCUCGAGCCCGAGGCCAUGUUGCGAAUACCUGAGGUUCCUACUCUGCCAGUUGCGGGGUUUGGUGGUCGGGCUCGAGCAUCAUCCAUAAAACCACCAUGCUCUGCCUAUGCUGGUGACGGAUGCAAAUUUCUUUGACUUAACAGUUGCGUGAGUGUGGCCACUUGCUGACGGAGCUCUUCAAAGGCUUCGGUUGUGACAAUCGCCGAUAGAGGUGCGAGCACUCCUGAUGACUCUUCUUGAAGAGCUGGUUGAUCUUCAGCAGGAUGAGGAAUGGGAGCAGAUGAGCUUGCAGAAGGAAGACCUGAUCGCGUGUUAACCAUGGCUUUUGGUAGCGUUUCCCAUAGACGGCGCAAAUGAUGCUACCAAAAAUCGUACCUGGUGAUUUCCUGAGCUUAAGGAUUUUGAAUGAGCACGAUCGUAAUCUUCCGGUACCUGAAACAAAGGCAACGAAGUAUGUUCUCGUCGUCCCUCCGAUACUUAAGUCAGAAAAUGAAUUAUGUGCGUAAGGCUUUAAACUGAAAAUAAUGAAAACAUGCCUGAACAAUGCCCCCAUCUAUUGUAUUUAUAGAGGUAGGUGAUAUUCUCCUAGUAGGACUCAACUAGCUAGGUAUCCUUAUUUGUUGGAGUCCUGUACGGUUAAGGAAUCAGACAAAUACCAAAAUUAUGCUUAAGACAGAGUCCUUAUUAGGAUCAAGUAUCGAAAUAGUAGUCCAGAGUUAGAGUUCCAAGUAGAUAGGAAUCCUAUUUGAUCAACAUAACCCAAGCCGCUCGAGGAGAGGAAUUCCCGAGGACAUAAUAUCCCGAGGACCUCAGGCGUACAAAAUCGUCGUCACACGAUUGCGAAUCCUCGAGCAUGUGUCAUCGAGGAAAAUGCUCGAGGACAUCAAGCUGCAAUAUGGUGAGGGAGUUAUUUUCAGUUAUCGAGGAUAAUGUUCAGGUAUGGACGAAUAAUAAGGCGUAUCAGC
This 6013-nucleotide long non-coding RNA is filed under the name Olea europaea subsp. europaea. Lineage: Eukaryota; Viridiplantae; Streptophyta; Magnoliopsida; Lamiales; Oleaceae. The record is from RNAcentral.